Molecule: long non-coding RNA, 611 nt
Filed under: Cyanistes caeruleus (blue tit)
Lineage: Eukaryota; Metazoa; Chordata; Aves; Passeriformes; Paridae
Description: lncRNA (ENSCCEG00000019417.1)
Source: RNAcentral
AAGUAUGUAUGUAGCUGCAUACCUAAGUACUCCCUCAGAGUAUCUGUGUGGCCAGCAAACACAAGGCACUGGCAUCUGCUGUGGGAACACGAGGCCCUGGCGUGGGCAAACUGGAAGGGGCCAUGUGAGGCUGGAGCUCAUGUUGCUGGUGCUGGUGAAUCUUUGUGGGAUACCUUGGCUCCAGGUUACCUUACCUGUUGAUAAAACAGGAAUAAAAGCAGACAGGUUUCUCAGUCAUCCAUUCUUUCUGGUGACAGAACUGAGGACUUGGAUCAGCACCUCGUGCACUGGCAUCAUGAGAUGCCUCAAGGUAGGUAUCCAGCCUGGAAUUCAAGUACCACUCCAUAAGACCCCCAGUCCUCUGCCAGACCUGCCAGUUUUUUAGGAUGCUCCCAACAACCCACACUGAGCUGAACUGUGAACCCUGAACCCUCUUCCUACAGCUGCACCACCUCAUCUUCUGCUCUUCAUAUGGAACAACAGACACAAAGAGCUAAAAUAUUGGUGCAAUUCAUGAGCUUCCUUCUUCAAAAGAAAUUGUACACCCCACCACCUAGUAAUGGCAAUCUGCUGAACAAGCACCUAGUGUAGACCAAUAAACGAAAGGAAAC